RNAcentral lists this ribosomal RNA (393 nucleotides) under uncultured bacterium. Its description in RNAcentral is "partial 16S ribosomal RNA". It matches the Rfam family "Bacterial small subunit ribosomal RNA", at positions 523 to 918 of the family's 1533-position model. The record is from RNAcentral.
AUACGGAGGACGCGAGCGUUAUCCGGAUUCAUUGGGUUUAAAGGGUGCGCAGGCGGCCGUGCAAGUCAGCGGUGAAAGCCCGGGGCUCAACCCCGGAAGUGCCGUUGAUACUGCAUGGCUGGAAUGCGGUCGAGGCGGGCGGAACGUGGCGGGGAGCGGUGAAAUGCGUAGAUAUGGCACAGAACGCCGAUAGCGGAGGCAGCUCGCCAGGCCUGCAUUGACGCUCGGGCACGAAAGCGUGGGGAUCGAACAGGAUUAGAUACCCUGGUAGUCCACGCCGUAAACGAUGGGUGCUCGUCGUCGGCGACAGACAGUCGGCGGCCAAGCGAAAGCGAUAAGCGCCCCACCUGGGGAGUACGGUCGCAAGGCUGAAACUCAAAUGAAUUGACGGGG